GCAGGGGACCUUCUGAACAACUAAAUGGUUGGGUACGGCUGCAACAACUAAUCAAUUAAAACUAGUAACGUUAUUAAAAUCAUAAAAAUUGUUGGCAACAAAUUCGGUCAUUGAUUUUUUUUUGUUGGUCUAUGUUGCACGACACGCUGUAACAUCUCUGUGGGCAGUAAGUCAGCCAAUGCCACGCCUUGUGUGUAGUUCACAUGAUGAAUUACAGGAAAUGACGCCGUCUCCUUCGUCCCUCCGGAGUAAGCAUUUGAAAAGUAAAGAAACUAAACUAAAUGGUACGGUGGAGACUUUUACUGGGAAAGUGUCUGCAUGUGUCCUCGACAAUACACGCAACACCGUGGCAGUUGUCUGUUUUGAACAUACACUGCAGCUGGCGCACCGCUGUAUGCGACGCACUAAUCUUGUCGGUUAACAAUCGGUUAACGAGGGUCAGUUAUCAGUCCCUAGCCUGCUUCUAGGACUACAUGUGGAUAUCUUUUAAAAUGUUUCAUCUGUCGUAUCUUCCGAGGUGUUUGCAAAGUACCACAAUCCUCAUAGGUGACUUUGGGAGAGAAUGAUGAAGAGUCCUAGUUCAUUAUUUCAACACCACCUUCACAUAAAAGUCAAAACUCUGAGAGAGGAAAUGGAGCCGUCUUUACUUCCCCUGAAGAACGAGUGCUUACUGAGUGACUUUGAGCUGCUGUUGGAAACGGAGAAACUCUGGGAUGUCGUUGGCACCGUUUACCUCAACAUGUUCUCAUAAUUGGUGAUAUUGAUCUGGUACCCUCUGCAACUAAAAGAAAUGAUCAGCCCUGAUGAGGACUGUGUUUACCAUUCUGUAUGUGUGACAGAUUUCCCUUCAUCCUCAGAGAGUCGCACACUUUGUGAAGCUCUUUUGUGUUGGUAAAAGUGGAGCACACUGCUGGAUUAGAAUGAGACACAUGAAAAAUUCCUUCCUUAGUGCGACAUGUCCGACUGCCACCCCUAUUUUAUUUUAAUUGCACAGUGUGUUCAUGACUUGUGUUAAGUGACCUACAGUAAACUAUCGCUUCACUGACGGCUUUGUCCACCGCAGAUACUGCAGCCUAUUUAUGCAUGGCAACAUACUCCUAUUAUAAACUCAUAGUUUAAGCUUUCUCCUUCACAAACACAGACA
Molecule: long non-coding RNA, 1144 nt
Organism: Sebastes umbrosus (honeycomb rockfish)
Lineage: Eukaryota; Metazoa; Chordata; Actinopteri; Perciformes; Sebastidae
Exons: 3
Source: RefSeq, a predicted model, not a curated record